GGCUUAGAGUUUGAUCAUGGCUCAGGACGAACGCUGGCGGCGUGCCUAACACAUGCAAGUCGAACGGAGCUUGCUAAAAAGAUUUCUUCGGAAUGAUUUUUUGCAAGUUUAGUGGCGGACGGGUGAGUAACGCGUGAGUAACCUGCCUUCGAGAGGGGAAUAACAAUCUGAAAAGAUUGCUAAUACCGCAUAACAUAUAGCCAUCGCAUGGUGGAGAUAUCAAAGAUUUAUCGCUCGGAGAUGGACUCGCGUCCGAUUAGUUAGUUGGUGAGGUAACGGCUCACCAAGACCGCGAUCGGUAGCCGGACUGAGAGGUUGAACGGCCACAUUGGGACUGAGACACGGCCCAGACUCCUACGGGAGGCAGCAGUGGGGGAUAUUGCGCAAUGGGGGAAACCCUGACGCAGCAACGCCGCGUGAAGGACGAAGGUCUUCGGAUUGUAAACUUCUUUUAUUAAGGACGAAGAAUGACGGUACUUAAAGAAUAAGCUCCGGCUAACUACGUGCCAGCAGCCGCGGUAAUACGUAGGGAGCAAGCGUUGUCCGGAUUUACUGGGUGUAAAGGGUGCGUAGGCGGCUUUGCAAGUCAGAUGUGAAAUCUAUGGGCUCAACCCAUAAACUGCAUUUGAAACUGUAGAGCUUGAGUGAAGUAGAGGCAGGCG
RNAcentral lists this ribosomal RNA (662 nucleotides) under uncultured organism. RNAcentral's name for it is "bacterial SSU rRNA". It matches the Rfam family "Bacterial small subunit ribosomal RNA", at positions 1 to 663 of the family's 1533-position model. The record is from RNAcentral.